Molecule: long non-coding RNA, 918 nt
Filed under: Manihot esculenta (cassava)
Lineage: Eukaryota; Viridiplantae; Streptophyta; Magnoliopsida; Malpighiales; Euphorbiaceae
Description: long non-coding RNA (MESC_LNC005781)
Source: RNAcentral
ACUUAAUUUGGUAGUCUGUCACAAACUAGUCAAAUUAUCAAAUACAAUCACUAAGAAUUUACAAUGUGAAAAUGUUCACAUCACAAAUAAAUGAAUCUCACAUGAUAUGUAAAAAAAAAAAAAAAAAGUCCAUUGAAUUUUAUAAACUGACCUUGCCACUGAAAAUGGGUGUAAUAGGAGCAUCAAGAUAUCCCUUGCAAGGUUCUUUUUUUCCCUCAGCAGUCAUGCUUGAGUAAUUUUUACUUGAAAUUGUGGAACAAACAUCUCCAUCUUGGGAUUCAGUAAUUUCACUUUUUUUUUAAAGCAUGGACAUUUCAGAACAUCACUUCCUGAGUAAAAAAUUAUCAAACUACGACUCUCAAGACUAAUGGACUGUAAUAAAGAGAAUAUGGUUUUAUCCCUUACUCCUUCCUCUUCCCGGUUCAUUAUAGAUGAUGUCCUCCAAUAAACUACAUCUCUUUAUUUCCAUGCACUCAAGUUGCACAAGCUCCACAGCCAAGGGAAGAGUAAAUAAAAUCCAUCCUGCUAAACAAACACACCGCAUUACUUGAAGAAUAAAAAAAAUUACUCUCAAACUGUCACCGUUAUUUCGCAUUGAGGUUGCGCUGCCAAAUCCAAUUCUCAAAAUGUCCAUGCAUCAGUUGAAUAUACUGAAGCUUUGGUGUGCUUAUUCCUCCAGCAGAAAAUGUCCCCAUAUUAGGGCAUCUAUGAACAGUUAGUAGUUCCAAUGAUGGGAUUUUGAGUGUGAUCAUUUCUUCGCAUUGCAAUAAAAACUCCUGAAUUACACAAAGCAAAAAAUAAAAAUAAAGAAGAAUCUUGCACAGAUACAGUUUCAAAAUUGGGUAAUCUUUGAGGGAAUCCAAACAGAGCAGCAGUUGAUUUCUCUGGAAAUGAAACCAUUUUGCUACUAGGAUUGCA